This 497-nucleotide ribosomal RNA is filed under the name uncultured bacterium. Its description in RNAcentral is "partial 16S ribosomal RNA". It matches the Rfam family "Bacterial small subunit ribosomal RNA", at positions 28 to 507 of the family's 1533-position model. The record is from RNAcentral.
GACGAACGCUGGCGGCGUGCCUAAUACAUGCAAGUUGAGCGCUGAAGGUUGGUACUUGUACCAACUGGAUGAGCAGCGAACGGGUGAGUAACGCGUGGGGAAUCUGCCUUUGAGCGGGGGACAACAUUUGGAAACGAAUGCUAAUACCGCAUAAAAACUUUAAACACAAGUUUUAAGUUUGAAAGAUGCAAUUGCAUCUCUGAAAGAUGAUUCCGCGUUGUAUUAGCUAGUUGGUGAGGUAAAGGCUCACCAAGGCGAUGAUACAUAGCCGACCUGAGAGGGUGAUCGGCCACAUUGGGACUGAGACACGGCCCAAACUCCUACGGGAGGCAGCAGUAGGGAAUCUUCGGCAAUGGACGAAAGUCUGACCGAGCAACGCCGCGUGAGUGAAGAAGGUUUUCGGAUCGUAAAACUCUGUUGGUAGAGAAGAACGUUGGUGAGAGUGGAAAGCUCAUCAAGUGACGGUAACUACCCAGAAAGGGACGGCUAACUACGUG